Lolium rigidum is the source of this 559-nucleotide long non-coding RNA. RefSeq lists it as uncharacterized. The record is from RefSeq and is a predicted model, not a curated record. The transcript is spliced from 3 exons. NCBI's taxonomy places the organism in Eukaryota, Viridiplantae, Streptophyta, Magnoliopsida, Poales, Poaceae.
UACAGGAGAUUAGGCCCCAAUCUAUUGGUCCAGGUUUUUCAUUUCUCUCUGCUCUCUUGGUUCGGGUGUGUUCUGGAAGAAGAUAAAUUCUACAGAAUAUUAGGGCCUAAUAUUGAUGUUCUAAAUGGAACGGUUAGAACUUUUUCAUGUAUGAUCUGCAUUGCAAAGUAGGGAUCUUUCUCUUUGUUCAAAGAAAAAAAAUACUCUUUCAGUCCUCCCAUGUUCCUGGAUUUUUCUUCAACUAAUCCUUUUGGGCAUUGUCUGCAAAACCUAAUCGGUAGUUUUUUGCAUUACCUUCAUGGUGUGGAGUCCCUGAUCAAGGCCAGGGCGCCGUGGAACUCAUGCUCAAGAGAGAGUGCUAUACCUGUGUUGCAUAGAAAACUGAUUCCUUCACUGGAGGAAUGAGCGCUUCAGGAGCUCCUCUUCACCAGCAGCAAGGUCAUAUUUAGUCCAUAUGAAGCAAGUACUUUUUGUAUCACACAAAGGAACUGUUGUAUUCUCCAACUUUUGCAGCAGAGAUUAUUAGUAUUUUGCUACAUUUUUCUCGUGAGCAAAUAAG